UACAGAGGUCCCGAGCGUUGUUCGGAUUCACUGGGCGUAAAGGGUGCGUAGGUGGUUAGGUAAGUCCGAUGUGAAAUCUCCAGGCUCAACCUGGAAAUGGCAUUGGAUACUAUUUAGCUUGAGGAGUGGAGGGGGGGACUGGAAUUCUCGGUGUAGCAGUGAAAUGCGUAGAUAUCGAGAGGAACACCAGUGGCGAAGGCGAGUCCCUGGACACUUCCUGACACUGAGGCACGAAAGCUAGGGGAGCAAACAGG
This 254-nucleotide ribosomal RNA is filed under the name uncultured bacterium. RNAcentral describes it as "partial 16S ribosomal RNA". It matches the Rfam family "Bacterial small subunit ribosomal RNA", at positions 524 to 776 of the family's 1533-position model. The record is from RNAcentral.